Molecule: long non-coding RNA, 1201 nt
Organism: Centropristis striata (black sea bass)
Lineage: Eukaryota; Metazoa; Chordata; Actinopteri; Perciformes; Serranidae
Exons: 2
Source: RefSeq, a predicted model, not a curated record
UUUUUUUUUUUUUUUUUUUUUUUUUUCCGUUUCACUUGAGAAAAAAUUCACUCAUCGGAAACGACUCCAGCCGGAGUUUUUUGCCAAACUAAUUGAGUAACGAGGGAGCAUUAUUUAUUCUUGAUUAUUGUUAAUUCUUUAUGAUUAAUCAGUGAUUAUUAAUUGUUAGUUGUCAGCUAUUAAUGAUCAUUAAUUAUUGAUUACCAAAUGAUCUAUUAUCACCAUUACUACGAUGUUUUCAUAAGAAACCCGGACAUCUUUUUGUUUUUCUGGAGUGGAAGAUGACCAUUUGGAGUCAUUUUUUUCCUAUGGAAUAUCCUUCUGAAAUACUGAAUGAAACUUGGGAGAAAUCUUGGAAUGAAAGCAAUUGACACCAGUCCAAACUUUUCAGCUGCUCUCAAAUUGUUACUUUUUUUGAAGAAAAAAAAAAUCUAUUUCCUAUGGAUGCAUGGGGACUGACCAAUUAAAAGACAAUGAGGAUUACGAUCGUGGCUGGACAGCCCAGUCGAGCAUUUUGUCACACUAUGAAAUGAUCCAAUGUGAAGAUUUAUUAUUCUUAUUACUAUAAAUAUAUAUAUAAAAAGAGAAAUCACUUUUAUUUGUGGAUAUUACAGGGAAGAAUUGAUUUGGUUAAUAAAGUCCUUAGUCAUGUUUGCACAUAUCUCGUUUUAAUUAGGAAAUGGAGUCUCUGUUGAUCUUUCUCUGUGUCCCAUUCUCUGAUGGUGCAAUAUGAAAAAAGAUAUGAAAAGUAUAAGAAAACUAUUGCUCUAUACUGUACUGUAAUGAUGAAAAAUAAUAUGUUGUGAGUAUACUUACAGGGCCGGACGCACUCCAGCUAUGUAUUCAGGUGUAGUUUACCACUGCUUGUUUGCCAGGGUGAAAAAAAUGUGGAUAUACGUAAGAAGCUGUUUUUUUGUUUCCUGUCUACCCUGGCCCAUUUCUGUUCUUUCUGUUUCUUUGAGUUUUUAGCCUGAAGGGAAGAAGAAGAAGAAGAGUUUGAUCCAAAAUGCUGUGAGGUCAUUAUGUCAGUUUCUAUGAUUAGUUUCUAUGAUUAACUGUCUUCAUUAUGAUUAUACAUUUUAACGGAAUAAAAAAAAUGUCACUUUUUAUUUUUAACAUGAGUGUUCACCAUGGUGGCACUGGAAUAAAGAGAAACUAACACAAAGUUCAAAUUUGAUUAAUAAAAUGGCUGUUCCCCAAA